GAUGAACGCUGGCGGCGUGCCUAAUACAUGCAAGUCGAGCGAACGGACGAGAAGCUUGCUUCUCUGAUGUUAGCGGCGGACGGGGGAGUAACACGUGGAUAACCUACCUAUAAGACUGGGAUAACUUCGGGAAACCGGAGCUAAUACCGGAUAAUAUUUUGAACCGCAUGGUUCAAAAGUGAAAGACGGUCUUGCUGUCACUUAUAGAUGGAUCCGCGCUUCAUUAGCUAGUUGGUAAGGUAACGGCUUACCAAGGCAACGAUGCAUAGACGACCUGAGAGGGCAAUCGGCCACACUGGAACUGAGACACGGUCCAGACACCUACGGGAGGCAGCAGUAGGUCAUCUUCAGCAAUGGGCGAAAGCCUGACGGAGCAACGCCGCGGGAGUGAUGAAGGUCUACGGAUCGUAAAACGAUGUUAUUAGGGAAGAACAUAUGUGUAAGUAACUGUGCACAUCUUGACGGUACCGAAACAGCAAGCCACGGCUAAAUACGU
This 496-nucleotide ribosomal RNA is filed under the name uncultured bacterium. Its description in RNAcentral is "partial 16S ribosomal RNA". It matches the Rfam family "Bacterial small subunit ribosomal RNA", at positions 28 to 506 of the family's 1533-position model. The record is from RNAcentral.